AGGGAGGAGUGCUUUCUUUGUAACUGUAUCUGUAGUUUCUUGUUCAUAGUGUUGCGGUGAUGUUUGUGAUCUCGAAUAGAUACUUUAUAGUAUUACUUUGUCAGUGUCUUGUUUCUUUUAUUAUCUAAAGGUGUGCUAUCCUACUUUGCUAUUUAUUUUUAUGUCUUUUGUUUGUUGUAUUGUUACCUGUCCUAAGUCAGGGGUUUAUCGAAAAUAGCCUCUCUAAUUCAUCUGACGUAUCCUCCCC
Molecule: long non-coding RNA, 247 nt
Filed under: Capsicum annuum
Lineage: Eukaryota; Viridiplantae; Streptophyta; Magnoliopsida; Solanales; Solanaceae
Description: long non-coding RNA (CANN_LNC002999)
Source: RNAcentral